UCGGACGGGUGAGUAACGCGUGAGAAUCUACCCUUAGGAUGGGGACAACAGUUGGAAACGACUGCUAAUACCCGAUGUGCCGAGAGGUAAAACUUAUAUGGCCUGAGGAAGAGCUCGCGUCUGAUUGGCUAGUUGGUAGUGUAAGGGACUACCAAGGCGACGAUCAGUAGCUGGUCUGAGAGGAUGAUCAGCCACACUGGGACUGAGACACGGCCCAGACUCCUACGGGAGGCAGCAGUGGGGAAUUUUCCGCAAUGGGCGAAAGCCUGACGGAGCAAGACCGCGUGAGGGAGGAAGGCCUACUGGUUGUAAACCUCUUUUGAUAGGGAAGAACACAAUGACGGUACCUAUCGAAUCAGCCUCGGCUAACUCCGUGCCAGCAGCCGCGGUAAUACGGAGGAGGCAAGCGUUAUCCGGAAUUAUUGGGCGUAAAGCGUCCGUAGGUGGUUAUCCAAGUCAGUUGUUAAAGCGUAGAGCUUAACUCUAUAAGGGCAAUUGAAACUGGGUGGCUAGAGUGCGAUAGGGGCAAGGGGAAUUCCCAGUGUAGCGGUGAAAUGCGUAGAUAUUGGGAAGAACAUCGGUGGCGAAGGCGCCUUGCUGGGUCUGCACUGACACUGAGGGACGAAAGCUAGGGGAGCGAAAGGGAUUAGAUACCCCUGUAGUC
RNAcentral lists this ribosomal RNA (664 nucleotides) under uncultured cyanobacterium. RNAcentral describes it as "bacterial SSU rRNA". It matches the Rfam family "Bacterial small subunit ribosomal RNA", at positions 98 to 795 of the family's 1533-position model. Lineage: Bacteria; Bacillati; Cyanobacteriota. The record is from RNAcentral.